RNAcentral lists this long non-coding RNA (1239 nucleotides) under Callithrix jacchus (white-tufted-ear marmoset). RNAcentral describes it as "lncRNA (ENSCJAG00000086175.1)". The record is from RNAcentral. Lineage: Eukaryota; Metazoa; Chordata; Mammalia; Primates; Cebidae.
AUGUGGGCAGUUUCAAGCUCAAGCUGUCUCCCAGUGAGCCCGAGAGCUUCUCACUUGGCAGUGGGGCUAGUGAAUCAGUGGCCAUCAAACAAAACGUGUUGUGGGUUUGCUUUGCCAGAUAGGAGACACCAUGUGAAUGGCGGGGUACGGUUAUUCUGGAAGUACGGCACUGGCGGGGUACGGUUAUUCUGGAAGUAUGGCACUGGCGGGGUACGGUUAUUCUGGAAGUAUGGCACUGGCGGGGUACGGUUAUUCUGGAAGCAUGGCACUGGCGGGGUACGGUUAUUCUGGAAGCAUGGCACUGGCGCGGUACGGUUAUUCUGGAAGUAUGGCACUGGCGCGGUACGGUUAUUCUGGAAGCAUGGCACUGGCGCGGUACGGUUAUUCUGGAAGCAUGGCACUGGCGGGGUACGGUUAUUCUGGAAGCAUGGCACUGGCGCGGUACGGUUAUUCUGGAAGCAUGGCACUGGCGGGGUACGGUUAUUCUGGAAGUAUGGCACUGGCGGGGUACGGUUAUUCUGGAAGUACGGCACUGGUGCGGUACGGUUAUUCUGGAAGUACGGCACUGGCGGGGUACGGUUAUUCUGGAAGUACGGCACUGGUGCGGUACGGUUAUUCUGGAAGUACGGCACUGGCGGGGUACGGUUAUUCUGGAAGUAUGGCACUGGCGCGGUACGGUUAUUCUGGAAGUAUGGCACUGGCGGGGUAUGGUUAUUCUGGAAGCAUGGCACUGGCGGGGUACGGUUAUUCUGGAAGUAUGGCACUGGCGCGGUACGGUUAUUCUGGAAGUAUGGCACUGGCGCGGUACGGUUAUUCUGGAAGUACGGCACUGGCGGGGUACGGUUAUUCUGGAAGCAUGGCACUGGCGGGGUACGGUUAUUCUGGAAGUAUGGCACUGGCGCGGUACAGUUAUUCUGGAAGUAUGGCACUGGCGCGGUACGGUUAUUCUGGAAGUAUGGCACUGGCGCGGUACGGUUAUUCUGGAAGUAUGGCACUGGCGGGGUAUGGUUAUUCUGGAAGCAUGGCACUGGCGGGGUACGGUUAUUCUGGAAGUAUGGCACUGGCGCGGUACGGUUAUUCUGGAAGCAUGGCACUGGCGGGGUACGGUUAUUCUGGAAGUAUGGCACUGGUGCAAUUAUGGAAGACUGCAAAGUAAAUCACAUCAAUGUCAGAUGGAUUAAGACGGACGUCAGCUCCUUCUGGGGUCCUGGCCAAUGUGAGCUUCUUUUGGUUUCUUAG